This 450-nucleotide ribosomal RNA is filed under the name uncultured bacterium. RNAcentral describes it as "partial 16S ribosomal RNA". It matches the Rfam family "Bacterial small subunit ribosomal RNA", at positions 354 to 796 of the family's 1533-position model. The record is from RNAcentral.
GUGGGGAAUUUUGGACAAUGGGCGCAAGCCUGAUCCAGCCAUGCCGCGUGAGUGAAGAAGGCCUUCGGGUUGUAAAGCUCUUUCGGCCGGGAAGAAAUCGGCGACUCUAACAUAGUCGCUGGAUGACGGUACCGGACUAAGAAGCACCGGCUAACUACGUGCCAGCAGCCGCGGUAAUACGUAGGGUGCGUGCGUUAAUCGGACUUACUGGGCGUAAAGCGUGCGCAGGCGGUUUUGUAAGACAGAUGUGAAAUCCCCGGGCUUAACCUGGGAACUGCGUUUGUGACUGCAAGGCUAGAGUACGGCAGAGGGGGGUGGAAUUCCUGGUGUAGCAGUGAAAUGCGUAGAUAUCAGGAGGAACACCGAUGGCGAAGGCAGCCCCCUGGGCCUGUACUGACGCUCAUGCACGAAAGCGUGGGGAGCAAACAGGAUUAGAUACCCGGGUAGUCC